Molecule: ribosomal RNA, 494 nt
Filed under: uncultured bacterium
Lineage: Bacteria
Description: partial 16S ribosomal RNA
Rfam family: Bacterial small subunit ribosomal RNA
Source: RNAcentral
ACGAACGCUGGCGGCGUGCCUAAUACAUGCAAGUAGAACGCUGAAGGAGGAGCUUGCUUCUCCGGAUGAGUUGCGAACGGGUGAGUAACGCGUAGGUAACCUGCCUGGUAGCGGGGGAUAACUAUUGGAAACGAUAGCUAAUACCGCAUAACAGUAGAUAUUGCAUGAUAUCUGCUUGAAAGGUGCAAUUGCAUCACUACCAGAUGGACCUGCGUUGUAUUAGCUAGUUGGUGAGGUAACGGCUCACCAAGGCGACGAUACAUAGCCGACCUGAGAGGGUGAUCGGCCACACUGGGACUGAGGCACGGCCCAGACUCCUACGGGAGGCAGCAGUAGGGAAUCUUCGGCAAUGGACGGAAGUCUGACCGAGCAACGCCGCGUGAGUGAAGAAGGUUUUCGGAUCGUAAAGCUCUGUUGUAAGAGAAGAACGAGUGUGAGAGUGGAAAGUUCACACUGUGACGGUAUCUUACCAGAAAGGGACGGCUAACUACGUG